ACAUCAAAAUUAAACAACAAAAGAAGAAGAUGAAUCAUACACAGAAUCAGCUGAAAGCCAGAUUGAAAAGCACUGUUGACAUGGGCUCAGAGUGUCAUUGGAUAUAGCCAGGGAUUUUUUUCAGCCAGAACUCGUUUAUGAUGGUUGAAAGCUGCUCUGGGUCCUCAUGGUAAAAGGCAGGGUUGACCUUCUCUCAGCACAUUGCCCUGCCACUGCAACGAUCUCUCCAGCUUAGAUCAGUAAGAGAAACCCAGAUCUUGUUUCCAGUGGGAAUUGGAUGUCAAGGUAAAGAGUCAGACUUUAAAGUGUUCUAGCAGAAGCCGCAAGCCACACACACACACACACAAGAGAAAGAAGCCUGCCUGCAAGGUCAACUCAAGGAGCAGCUGAGCGAACAGUUCUUUUGUGAGGCUGUGUUAUCCUUAUGAAUGAACUUUGAGCCAUCCUGACAGUAUUUGCCAGAGCUAUUGGGCAUUUUUACAAGCAUGGCUCCUAAGGUUCCAUGAACAAUCACAUUGUUUUGUACGGCUCUCAUUAAAAUUGAGACAAUGGAGAGAUGGAGAAGGACGUUGUGGAUUCAUCCUGCCUUUACGUUUCCUGCACUCCUUGUUGCAGUGAGGACAGCCAGUUACACAGCACCAAAAGAGAGGAAAGGCACCAUCAGAAAAAAGAAAAAGAAAUGUAUUUGCAUGAAAUAUGCAAGUGCUGAUUUCAAGAUGCGCCUCUGCCCCAUACAUUGCUCCAUCUGCUCUUCACACUCUCUUCUCCUUCCUGCAACCAGCCACAACAUCUGAACUCGCCUCUACAGUUUGCCCCAUCCCCAUAGUGGAGGAUGGCGGGCCUAGCAGCAGAAGCUGCUGACUCCUGCCCCUUCUCUCCUUCUUUCCCUCCCUCCCUUUCCCCACCCCUGCCCCACAGACAUGGAAAGAGAAGCACAGAUGAAAGGGAAGCAGUGCUCACUCUCGCC
This is a long non-coding RNA of Podarcis raffonei (Aeolian wall lizard), 967 nucleotides long. RefSeq lists it as uncharacterized. The record is from RefSeq and is a predicted model, not a curated record. The transcript is spliced from 3 exons. Lineage: Eukaryota; Metazoa; Chordata; Lepidosauria; Squamata; Lacertidae.